GAGUAUUUGACAGACUGUGG
This 20-nucleotide microRNA is filed under the name Ictalurus punctatus (channel catfish). RNAcentral's name for it is "ipu-miR-223". Its record names the gene ipu-miR-223. The record is from miRBase by way of RNAcentral. Lineage: Eukaryota; Metazoa; Chordata; Actinopteri; Siluriformes; Ictaluridae.